CGUAGGCACCAAGCGUUGUCCGGAUUUAUUGGGCGUAAAGAGCUCGUAGGCGGUUCGGUAAGUCGGGUGUGAAAACUCUGGGCUCAACCCAGGAGAGGCCACCCGAUACUGCCGUGACUGGAGUGCGGUAGGGGAGGUGGGAAUUCCUGGUGUAGCGGUGAAAUGCGCAGAUAUCAGGAGGAACACCAGUGGCGAAGGCGCCACUCUGGGCCGUAACUGACGCUGAGGAGCGAAAGCGUGGGUAGCAAACAGGAUU
This 256-nucleotide ribosomal RNA is filed under the name uncultured bacterium. RNAcentral's name for it is "partial 16S ribosomal RNA". It matches the Rfam family "Bacterial small subunit ribosomal RNA", at positions 526 to 779 of the family's 1533-position model. The record is from RNAcentral.